UCUCCGUUGGUGAACCAGCGGAGGGAUCAUUGCUGGAACUGUGUCCGCAAGGACACAACCCCAGAUACCCUUUGUGAACUUAUACCUUUUUUAUCGUUGCCUCGGCGCUGAGCUGGGGGCUUCUCGAAGCCCUCCCGCAUUCUUUCGAGAACACGGAGCAAGCCCGCCGACGGCCCUUUAAACUCUGUUUUUAUUACGUAUCUCUUCUGAGUUAUUCAAAACGAAUGAAUCAAAACUUUCAACAACGGAUCUCUUGGUUCUGGCAUCGAUGAAGAACGCAGC
This 282-nucleotide unclassified non-coding RNA is filed under the name uncultured fungus. RNAcentral's name for it is "sequence contains ITS1, 5.8S rRNA gene". The stretch from base 234 to 282 matches the Rfam family "5.8S ribosomal RNA", at positions 1 to 49 of the family's 154-position model. The record is from RNAcentral. Lineage: Eukaryota; Fungi.